This 473-nucleotide ribosomal RNA is filed under the name uncultured bacterium. RNAcentral describes it as "bacterial SSU rRNA". It matches the Rfam family "Bacterial small subunit ribosomal RNA", at positions 395 to 859 of the family's 1533-position model. The record is from RNAcentral.
UGCCGCGUGUGUGAAGAAGGCCCGAGGGUUGUAAAGCACUUUCAAUUGUGAGGAAAGGUUAGUCGCUAAUAUCGGCUAGCUGUGACGUUAACUUUAGAAGAAGCACCGGCUAACUCUGUGCCAGCAGCCGCGGUAAUACAGAGGGUGCAAGCGUUAUUCGGAAUUACUGGGCGUAAAGCGCGCGUAGGCGGACUGUUAAGUCGGUUGUGAAAGCCCUGGGCUCAACCUAGGAAUUGCAUCCGAUACUGGCAAUCUAGAGUUUAGGAGAGGGAAGUGGAAUUCCUGGUGUAGCAGUGAAAUGCGUAGAUAUCAGGAGGAACAUCAGUGGCGAAGGCGACUUCCUGGCCUAAAACUGACGCUGAGGUGCGAAAGCGUGGGUAGCGAACGGGAUUAGAUACCCCGGUAGUCCACGCCGUAAACGAUGUCAACUAGCUGUUGGCCUUAUUAAAAAGGUUAGUAGCGUAGCUAACGCG